This 1232-nucleotide small RNA is filed under the name Pan troglodytes (chimpanzee). RNAcentral's name for it is "retained intron". The record is from RNAcentral. Lineage: Eukaryota; Metazoa; Chordata; Mammalia; Primates; Hominidae.
CAGGUCCAGGGGGACAGAACUUGGACCUGUCCUGUGGGGCCUCCUCAGCCUCCCACACACCCCUCGGUGCUUGUAACGGUCUCUGUCCUGGCCAGGAGGCAGCCCAGGAUUCACGCAGAGCCUGUGCCUCUCAGGCGGGCUGUUGCUGCCCUGGGUCUGCCAUGUCGCUCAUGGGACUACAUUGGAUUGUUACGUGCCUGGCCCCUCUCUGAGCUGUGGUGCCUCGAGAGGCAGCUGUGACCUACUGGCCUUCACAUCUCCCCAUGGAGGGGACAUUGUUACAGGCGCCUUGAGCAGCCUGGGGAGGGGAGUUGGGGCCGGGAACCUGGAAGGGGAGGAGGGUGCCCCAGGCCUCGGGGCACAGUGAGUCCCUCGCCCCACAGACAUCCAGUACCAGGAGAACUUCUAUGCCUGGAGCGCCCCGGGGGUCGGCCGGUUCGUGGCCUCCAUGGCCGCCUCAGGGUGCGCCUACCUCAUCCUGCUCUUCCUCAUCGAGACCAACCUGCUUCAGAGACUCAGGGGCAUCCUCUGCGCCCUCCGGAGGAGGCGGACACUGACAGAAUUAUACACCCGGAUGCCUGUGCUUCCUGAGGACCAAGACGUAGCGGACGAGAGGACCCGCAUCCUGGCCCCCAGCCCGGACUCCCUGCUCCACACACCUCUGAUUAUCAAGGAGCUCUCCAAGGUGUACGAGCAGCGGGUGCCCCUCCUGGCUGUGGACAGGAUCUCCCUCGCAGUGCAGAAAGGGGAGUGCUUCGGCCUGCUGGGCUUCAAUGGAGCCGGGAAGACCACGACUUUCAAAAUGCUGACCGGGGAGGAGAGCCUCACUUCUGGGGAUGCCUUUGUCGGGGGUCACAGAAUCAGCUCUGAUGUCGGAAAGGUGCGGCAGCGGAUCGGCUACUGCCCGCAGUUUGAUGCCUUGCUGGACCACAUGACAGGCCGGGAGAUGCUGGUCAUGUACGCUCGGCUCCGGGGCAUCCCUGAGCGCCACAUCGGGGCCUGCGUGGAGAACACUCUGCGGGGCCUGCUGCUGGAGCCGCAUGCCAACAAGCUGGUCAGGACGUACAGUGGUGGUAACAAGCGGAAGCUGAGCACCGGCAUCGCCCUGAUCGGAGAGCCUGCUGUCAUCUUCCUGGACGAGCCGUCCACUGGCAUGGACCCCGUGGCCCGGCGCCUGCUUUGGGACACCGUGGCACGAGCCCGAGAGUCUGGCAAGGCCAUCGUCAUCACCU